Molecule: non-coding RNA, 155 nt
Organism: Cyanistes caeruleus (blue tit)
Lineage: Eukaryota; Metazoa; Chordata; Aves; Passeriformes; Paridae
Source: RefSeq, a predicted model, not a curated record
ACUUUUUUAAAAAAUCUUUUAUAGUGUGCCGGUCAAAUAAAAGCCCCUGGGUCUGUCUGACGUGUUCGAGUGUCCAUUGUGGAAGAUAUGUGAAUGGCCAUGCAAAAAAGCAUUAUGAAGAUGCACAGAUUCCUAUGACCAAUCAUAAGAAAACA